GGAUGUGAGGGCGAUCUGGCUGGCUAGGCGGGUGUCCCCUGCCUCCCUCACCACUCCAUGUGCAACCCUCCUGAAGCUGCGUGCUCGGUCGAAGAGGAUGGCCUUCCCCAAAUAAAAAGGCCCAAGAAACA
Molecule: small nuclear RNA, 131 nt
Filed under: Erinaceus europaeus (western European hedgehog)
Lineage: Eukaryota; Metazoa; Chordata; Mammalia; Eulipotyphla; Erinaceidae
Description: 7SK RNA
Rfam family: 7SK RNA
About the family: 7SK was discovered as an abundant small nuclear RNA in the mid-70s but a possible function has only recently been suggested. Two independent studies have found that 7SK RNA binds the CDK9/cyclin T complex (known as elongation factor P-TEFb). P-TEFb activates transcription by phosphorylating the C-terminal domain of RNA polymerase II.
Source: Rfam by way of RNAcentral